This 387-nucleotide ribosomal RNA is filed under the name Anguillanella callawaensis. RNAcentral's name for it is "partial large subunit ribosomal RNA". Lineage: Eukaryota; Metazoa; Arthropoda; Malacostraca; Bathynellacea; Bathynellidae. The record is from RNAcentral.
AAAGAUUAUUUAACGGCCGCAGUAUUUUGACUGUGCUAAGGUAGCAUAAUAGCUUGUCUCUUAAUUAGAGUCUAGAAUAAAGGAUCUUAUAGGCUUAAACUUUUUUCUCUUAUUAAAUUAAAUUUAAUUAUUGAGUGAAAAGGCUCAAAUAAACAAAAAAGACGAUAAGACCCUAUAAAACUUAAUCACAAAAGAUUUUCAUAGAUAAUUUUAUUAUAAUCGUUGUAAAUAAGGAGUAAUUAGGUUGGGGCGACUAUAAUUAAACAUUAAACAUUUUAACGCAUAAUGACUAAAAUCAACUGACUUUUGACCCUUCAAAGAUUAAUUGACAAAGUUACUUUAGGGAUAACAGCGUAAUUUUUUUGGAGAGCUCUUAUCGAUAAAAAA